Long non-coding RNA from Vicia villosa (hairy vetch), 2887 nucleotides. RefSeq lists it as uncharacterized. Lineage: Eukaryota; Viridiplantae; Streptophyta; Magnoliopsida; Fabales; Fabaceae. The transcript has 4 exons. The record is from RefSeq and is a predicted model, not a curated record.
UCUUCUCAAAUGCGCUACCUUUCUCUUAUGUCUCUCUUUCUACUUCGACAAAAAAACAACAAGAAAAGAAAAUGCUUCACUGAAAAUGAAAUUCCCACACAAAAUCUCAACCUUUCCACACUGCAAUCGUGAAACUUCAACCAGAUUUAACCAAAACGUAACUACAAUCAUGAAUCAUUUAAAUCCUUUUCGAACCCUAAACUUUCAGAUCGAAAAAAAUCCACCGUGCCGGUUUCUCUCAGGCCACCGCGAGCUUCAUCUCCUCCAAGGCGUGACAGCAUAUCCGGUUCAAGAUGAUGCCUUGAAGACUGGCGAACUUGACUAUGUCAGUGCAGGUAUGCAUGAAACUUAUACGGUUGUUGAAUUCUAAUUGUUAAUUUUUUAAGUUAUUAACUGAUAAUAUCAUUUUAUUUAACUAUUUUUCAUUAUUUAAGCUGCACUUGUUUGAUAUUCCAUAGCAGGAAACUUUCUAGGAAUAUCUGAGGUUGAUACUUCUUUUAAUUCUAUGACUUUGUUCUCCUUUAAUUCCAGCCAGUUUGGUUGCUCUCAUAUACAUGCGUUCUGUUGAGAUGUAUGAUUAAUAUGCCUUCACAAAUUUUCAGGUUAAAGUCGUCACCGUCCAUGGCACCAAUAAUUACUUUGUGACUGCAUCACUUGAUGACACUUGUCAAACUCAGGUCUGUUUUCAGACACUUGUCUGACUCAGUUUCAUGCAUGUAUGAGUCUAGAUAGUUUAGCUGGAAAUGUCAUGCAAGAAACAGUUCAUGUAACAGUACCGAGUUUCCACUUGUCUGACUCAGCCUAACCCCAAGGGACUGGGUGUUAAAUGUCUGGAUAGCUGUAAUGUACUUUCCAUUGGAGACAUAAAUUAGUAAGAGUGAGGGGAGGGCCCUGAUAUCCGUUCUUAUUGUAGAAAUAUACUCGUGCUGAGAGACAGGAAUUAUGUGUGUGCUUCUUGACAUAUUUGUUAGUUGGAUUUUGAAUGACAAAUGGAAGUUAUUACUAUAGAAAAGCCCUUAAAUAUAAACAAGAGAAUUUCAUUUUAAUGCUCCUGUUACACAUCUUGUAUCAUAGAUUCACUUUGUUGUAAAAGACAAUGAUGUCGUUGGUUCACAGGUUAUCGGUGCAUUGGGAAUUCCGGUUGAGAACUUAUGUAAUGGUUCCAAACUUGAAGGUGUUUUCCCCAUUCUUAACACUAAUGGAAAGCCCUUUAAGACUACUACAAUUUUGAGCUUAUCAAUUCAGUAUACUCCUGUUGAUAAGGUAACCCUUUAUAUAAACGGUGUCGGUGAGGAUUAUAUAUGUGUUCAGCGCACAUGAAGCUCUUAACCUUUUUAUACUAAAUCCUGGUACCUUAAUUAAUAGGUGCACUGUAGCUGUAAUUCAAAUUGUUAUGUCUGAGUUUUCCUCCUAAACAGUCCUCGUAUCCUUUAAUUUUUAGUUGAUUAAGACUAUGGGCUCAAAUGAUGCUAUUGUGCAAAGGCUCUUUACUCAUGGUCCUAUUUAUGAAAGGAAAUUCCCGUCUUUAUGAUUAAUAAAAUACUUAUAAUGAAAUUGUAAUAAAAAUUCAAUGGAUAUUCAUAUAGGUGGAGCUUUUGCACUAUACUCAUUGAUUUGUAGGCAUAUAAAAGUGAGUUUGGCACCCAAUCAACAACUAGAGGACAUGGAGCUUUCUAACUACAAACUUAAAAUACCAUCUUACAAGCAUAAAAGAGCCAAUAAAAUUAAGCAAAUGAUUGAGCAUAGUCACUUUGCUAAAAUUGUUCUCUUACUUCUAGCUAUCAUGGGAACUUCCAUGGUUAUAGGAGAUGGCACUCUCACUCCUUCCAUUUCAAUACUUUCUGCUGUUAGUGGAAUCAGUUCAUCACUAGGUCAAAAUGCUGUUAUGUGAAUUACUGUAGAAUUUUGGUGGAAUUGGUCUCUACAAUUUAUUUAAACAUGACCUUGGAGUAUUAAAUGCUUUUAAUCCAAAAUAUAUAGUUGAUUAUUUCAAAAGAAAUGGUAAAGAAGGUUGGAUAUCAUUAGGUGGAUUCUUCCUAUGUAUAACAGAUCCUUUGUAUUGGCCUACAUUUGACAGAAGGUUUCAGCAUCAAAAGCUCUGCCCCAUCACACACCCACGGUAUUCAGCCCUUAGGCAAUCUCUAUUCAAAGUUAGAGACUUUUAUUCUGAUUAUCUUUUCCAGAGUUGGUUGUGUGCUAAUUGAAAUGAAACGUGAAUGGUUGGAGAGGGAUAAUAUUGUUUGAAAGAAAGGCUUUUCGGUUGAGGAAUUAGUGAUGAAUAUCCAAAAUACUCUCCGAGUUUCUUCCUAGUCAUGAUGGUGCAGAGGUGGCGUCUCCUGUUUUAAUAAUGGAAUGGUUCAUGAACUUUUAUGGUGCCGCAAAGAAUUGGAAAAAGAGACCAAUUGAUUGCAUAUGUCAAGCCGGGGAAGUCAUAUUUAUGCCGAAUGGAUUGUGGCAUUUGGUGAUCAACCUGGAGGAAUCUAUUGCCAUAAUACAAACUAUGUUAGCAGGUCUCCUAUCAGGUCAACUGAACAAUUUGGCGAAAGGAGCCUAUCAGGUCAAUUGAACAAUUCGGCGGAAGGAUCCUAUAAAGAACAUCCACUGCAUUCAUUUCAACAUCUGCAACAGCAAGUGCAUUAGAUGGAUUUUCACUCAGUAACCUAACAAUGCAGCAAUUAGAGUUAGUGCCUAUUUGUACCAAUAUUUACUACAUAAUUUCACUUUUAAUUUUUUUUGGCACAAGAUUGGUAAGUUGGGGAAUGCCAUUAUUAUUAUUGUUUUAAUGUUGUAUCUUAUUUAGUAGAAGCAAUUCAUAUAUCUAGUGGAAGGGACUCAUAUUUUGUAAAUUCAUGAGUUUUCACAUUAAAUUAUUGCUUAAAAAAAUUAC